AAAGAAUAAGACACAACAAUUUAAGGCUCAAGUAAGUUUACUAAUGCACAAUAAAUUAAAAGAGAAGUUAGGCAAACAAAAAACAAAUGACAACGAGAUGGAUGAUGUCGGGUUUGCAAUUCCGAAACCCAUGACACGAGGCAUAGACCCAUCAGCUCAAGUAACAAUGAAAGAGGUUGUAUGAGACUGAAAGGUACAUAAAAGGUUAAAGUUACCUACCAUAUGCUCUGUUGCAUGAUAAUCAAUGACCCAUUUAGAAUCGGACACAAGGCAUGAAGUGAAUUUACCAGACUCGGCGAUAGCAGUGACGGAGGAAUUGGUAUGCUUUAGUGAUGCCUUAUAUUGAGAAAUUGAGCAAAUUCUUUUGCAGAUGCAAAAAUAGUUUUUUGGAUGAUUAUGCUACUAAAAAUUCCUUAAGAGCCAUGUUAUGAUGUUGAGAAAGACCAAUUUAUAAGAACAGGUCACCCAAAAUAUCAGCCAAAACCAAGUUUCUCAAGUCACAAAAAACACUCCAAAGCACCAAAGCUCGACAAAAUAGUACCAAAAGUACUUAAACAGGUUACCUAAAGUCCAAAAGAAUCCUCAAAUAUCCCAAAAAAAAAGGUUUUCAAUCCCAAAUAAAUACCCAAAGUCCAAAAGAGUCCUCAAAUAACCAAAAAGGAUGUCAGCAGUUCUAGUUGUAAGAGAAAUCAUUUUCUAGUCAGAGACCCAAGAAACAAACUAAAGGAAGCAACCAAGAGAGAAGAACUAAAACUCAAAUCAGCUCACAAGGCUACAACAAGCUCACCAAGGUGACACCGAAGGAGGAGAAACGGCGGUGGAAGGUCACCGGAGAGCAGCUUACACGCCUACACUCACCAACCCAUGAGACAGAGCCUGAAGAAAAAAAAAAUAGCGCGUGGGCCUCACUUGUCAGUCGUCUAAUAACCAAACUUUCUAGGCAGACCCACUGGCAGUUAGGGGUUCUUCCUGGGUGGGCGGUAUGAGCAUGGAGUCACCCUAAACAGAAGACUUAGGAACUGACAUUAGCUUUUGGAAAAUAGACCAAGAAAACAAAGGGAAGAAAAGAACUUAAUUCAUGUAGAUGGCUCUAAUACCAUGUAAGUUUUGAAGGAAAAAUCUCUUGUA
RNAcentral lists this unclassified non-coding RNA (1128 nucleotides) under Hevea brasiliensis (rubber tree). Lineage: Eukaryota; Viridiplantae; Streptophyta; Magnoliopsida; Malpighiales; Euphorbiaceae. The record is from RNAcentral.